Topomyia yanbarensis is the source of this 1146-nucleotide long non-coding RNA. RefSeq lists it as uncharacterized. The transcript has 4 exons. Lineage: Eukaryota; Metazoa; Arthropoda; Insecta; Diptera; Culicidae. The record is from RefSeq and is a predicted model, not a curated record.
AGGUUCUAACCCCAACUGCUGUCAGUUCAUACAUUUUGACAGCAGUUGGGGUUAGGAACUGACUCAGUUUAGCUUCAAACGAAAACCACAUUAAAAUUUAUUUAAAAGCGCGUAGAACAAUCUAUCAAUCAUCCCUCCAUCCCGAUAACGCUUCGGGAUUCAAAAUAAAUUCUGUAUGGAUUCCGUGCAGCUUUUUGUUGCUAUCAACAUUCGAAGUUACAGCAGUAGAUAAUCAAUGUCGGCGCCGGUAGUUGAGUGGUAAGCGGGGCCACUACUCGCCCCUCAAUCCCAGCCGAGGUCAUUAAGUUUUUUCUGAGGUGAAAGAAGUCAUUUAAAUCUCGGUGAUAUAAACCAUGCUCUCUAUCAUGGGCAUUGUAUUACAGGACCGGAACUCGAAUGCUGCGGUGGCAAGUAAUACGGCCGGUGGACAACAAGGAAUGCCCCUCGAUAAUGCGGAGUAUAGUCUAACCAACGUCUCAAACAUUUCAAAUGUCUCUUGACCUUACAGACGUGAGCUGAAAAUCGACCAGUCCAAUCACAUACCCUUUCUCCAUGAGCCCAACAUAGUGACGAGGAAGAGUAAGGAUUCAAGUAUGGUGCCCAGUACAUAAACUCUUUUUUUGGUAUGCAUAGUGGAGGAGGUGGCCAUUAGGAAGUGAUCAAAUCUCUAGAAACGACGUUAAUAUUUGUGACUGGGGAUUAUGUCCUCGCUGAUGCUAUUGUUUUACUCAGCUAUCUAUAUUUGGAGAAGAUACUAGGAGCGUACACUGUUUCCUUUCGUUACCUGAUGACCUGUUAUACGAAGUUUUAGAGUACUAAUCUAUUCAUUAAUCCACUGGCAGGAUCUACUUCAUACAAAGCCAUCGUACUUUUGUUUUAUUAGUGAUAUAUGUAUUGCCUAUAAUCGGCAGUCAAUCCAAUGUGAAUAGGAAUUCCCAUAGAACAUAGAAAAAAUAAUUUGGCACCAUUAUUUUUUCAACAUAUUUUGGACACCAUUUUUUUAUACUUCUGAGCAAAACUUUACAAAUGAACCAUUUUAAAUACAUAAAAUGAUUCUUCCAAAUUUGGAGGAAUUGGCACCAAAGGAGACAAAUGUAUGAAAAGCUUCUUAAAUAAGGAGCAGUCCAAAUUAGGCUUAUUACUCUA